RNAcentral lists this ribosomal RNA (468 nucleotides) under uncultured bacterium. RNAcentral's name for it is "partial 16S ribosomal RNA". It matches the Rfam family "Bacterial small subunit ribosomal RNA", at positions 28 to 507 of the family's 1533-position model. The record is from RNAcentral.
GACGAACGCUGGCGGCGUGCUUAACACAUGCAAGUCGAACGGAAAGGCCCUGCUUUUGUGGGGUGCUCGAGUGGCGAACGGGUGAGUAACACGUGAGUAACCUGCCCCUGACUUUGGGAUAACUUCAGGAAACUGGGGCUAAUACCGGAUAGGAGCUCCUGCUGCAUGGUGGGGGUUGGAAAGUUUCGGCGGUUGGGGAUGGACUCGCGGCUUAUCAGCUUGUUGGUGGGGUAGUGGCUUACCAAGGCUUUGACGGGUAGCCGGCCUGAGAGGGUGACCGGCCACAUUGGGACUGAGAUACGGCCCAGACUCCUACGGGAGGCAGCAGUGGGGAAUAUUGCACAAUGAGCGGAAGCCUGAUGCAGCAACGCCGCGUGCGGGAUGACGGCCUUCGGGUUGUAAACCGCUUUCGCCUGUGACGAAGCGUGAGUGACGGUAAUGGGUAAAGAAGCACCGGCUAACUACGUG